ACUCAAAGGAAUAGACGGGGACCCGCACAAGCGGUGGAUGAUGUGGAUUAAUUCGAUGCAACGCGAACAACCUUACCUACCCUUGACAUGUCUGGAAGCCUGCUGAGAGGCGGGUGUGCCCGAAAGGGAACCGGAACACAGGUGCUGCAUGGCUGUCGUCAGCUCGUGUCGUGAGAUGUUGGGUUAAGUCCCGCAACGAGCGCAACCCUUGUCCCUAGUUGCUACGCAAGGGCACUCUAGGGAGACUGCCGGUGACAAACCGGAGGAAGGUGGGGAUGACGUCAAGUCCUCAUGGCCCUUAUGGGUAGGGCUUCACACGUCAUACAAUGGCCGGUACAGAGGGUUGCCAAACCGCGAGGUGGAGCCAAUCCCAGAAAGCCGGUCGUAGUCCGGAUUGCAGUCUGCAACUCGACUGCAUGAAGUCGGAAUCGCUAGUAAUCGCGGAUCAGCAUGUCGCGGUGAAUACGUUCCCGGGUCUUGUACACACCGCCCGU
This 494-nucleotide ribosomal RNA is filed under the name uncultured bacterium. Its description in RNAcentral is "bacterial SSU rRNA". It matches the Rfam family "Bacterial small subunit ribosomal RNA", at positions 899 to 1397 of the family's 1533-position model. The record is from RNAcentral.